Molecule: ribosomal RNA, 253 nt
Filed under: uncultured bacterium
Lineage: Bacteria
Description: partial 16S ribosomal RNA
Rfam family: Bacterial small subunit ribosomal RNA
Source: RNAcentral
UACGGAGGGUGCAAGCGUUGUCCGGAAUUAUUGGGCGUAAAGAGCUCGUAGGCGGUCUGUCGCGUCUGCUGUGAAAACUCAGGGCUUAACCCUGAGCUUGCAGUGGGUACGGGCAGACUAGAGUGCGGUAGGGGAGACUGGAAUUCCUGGUGUAGCGGUGAAAUGCGCAGAUAUCAGGAGGAACACCGGUGGCGAAGGCGGGUCUCUGGGCCGUAACUGACGCUGAGGAGCGAAAGCGUGGGGAGCGAUCCGG